GACGAACGCUGGCGGCGUGCCUAAUACAUGCAAGUCGAGCGGACCGGAUUGGGGCUUGCCUUGAUUCGGUCAGCGGCGGACGGGUGAGUAACACGUGGGCAACCUGCCCGCAAGACCGGGAUAACUCCGGGAAACCGGAGCUAAUACCGGAUAACACCGAAGACCGCAUGGUCUUCGGUUGAAAGGCGGCCUUUGGGCUGUCACUUGCGGAUGGGCCCGCGGCGCAUUAGCUAGUUGGUGAGGUAACGGCUCACCAAGGCGACGAUGCGUAGCCGGCCUGGAGGGGUGACCGGCCACACUGGGACUGAGACACGGCCCAGACUCCUACGGGAGGCAGCAGUAGGGAAUCUUCCGCCAUGGGCGAAAGCCUGACGGAGCGACGCCGCGGGAGCGAAGAAGGCCUUCGGGUCGUAAAGCUCUGUUGUGAGGGACGAAGGAGCGUCGUUCGAAGAGGGCGGCGCGGUGACGGUACCUCACGAGAAAGCCCCGGCUAACUACGUG
Molecule: ribosomal RNA, 501 nt
Filed under: uncultured bacterium
Lineage: Bacteria
Description: partial 16S ribosomal RNA
Rfam family: Bacterial small subunit ribosomal RNA
Source: RNAcentral